AUUUUUAUUUCUUUACAUAACCUGCACCAGAGAGCUCAGGUUUUUCAUCAAGGAUCCCUCUGUACUUUGCUGUCCCUCCAUCCUGACUAGUUUCUUCGAUUCUGCCUGCUGAAAACACCUUCACAGCAUGAUGCUGCCACCACCAUGCUUCACCAUAGGGUUGGUAUUGGCCAGGUGAUGAGCGGUGCCUGGUUUCCUCCAGACGUGACGCUUGGCAUUGUGGCCAAAGAGUUCAAUCUUGGUUUCAUCAGACCAGAGAAUCUUGUUUCUUAUGGUCUGAGAGUCCUUUAGGUGCCUUUUGGCAAACUCCCUGCGGGGCUGAGAGACUGAAGUGCUGCUGGCUGUUUAAUAAAGAGGAACUCUGGAAGUCAUUUAUACCAAUUGUGCCGCUGUGGUGUAGACGACAGUCUGGAUCUAUGAUAGAUGUCUUGAACCUUCUCACAUUGUCAAACAAAUAUCUUGUAGAAAAAAGAUAAAAAAAACAGGACCCGGUUUUCAUUUUGCACUGAACUGUCACUUUAAGAGGCAACUUUGAACACGUGAAGUCAACGCCAUUGGAGGAAGGAGCAGCCAUUCACCUCUGUGAUUAUGGUCAUAUAAGAUCUCAAUUUAUCAAAAACAGACAUUCAUUAACACCAGCUACUCUUCAGCAGUAUCUGUCUGAUCAUAAGGUGCAGUGGAAUGAAAGGGUCAGCUGAUAUGAGGAUUGUCCUAUUGGGCAAUACAGGAGCUGGAAGGAGCAGCACAGCCAAUAGCAUUCUGGGAGAGAAGGUGUUCAAGACCUCUUGCUCUGCCAACUCCCAAACAGUAGGAUGUGAGGCUAAAACAAAAACGGUUGGUGGGAGGAGCAUCACUGUGAUUGACACACCAGGCUUUCUUGAUAAUAAGAACCCGGCUGACACCCUGAACCCCAAAAUAGUGGAGUGCAUCAGAGAAUGUUCCGCCAGACCUCACACCUUUGUUAUGGUGUUGAAAACUUCCAAGCAAACAGCAGAGGAGUUACGAGUGAUGAAGAGGUUUGAGGACUACUUUGGAGAGGAGGCUUUGAAGUAUGCUGUUGUCCUUUUUACCCACGGAGACCAGCUCGACGACCACACGACCAUCGGCAGUUUGUGAAUAAA
Molecule: long non-coding RNA, 1121 nt
Organism: Anguilla rostrata (American eel)
Lineage: Eukaryota; Metazoa; Chordata; Actinopteri; Anguilliformes; Anguillidae
Exons: 3
Source: RefSeq, a predicted model, not a curated record